CCUCAUUCGAGUAUUGAAAAUGGCACAACUAGUUUUGUGCCUUUCAACGUCGUCAGGCAUGCCAAAGGAGUCGUUCAACAUUUGAAGCAUCUCCUGUGACUGGGCGUUCUCAAACCUUCGGCUGAACUCGUCAUUCAUUGCUGCCAGCAUAAUACAUCGAACGGUAGUGCGGUCAUUGAGCCACUUCAAGUAAGUGUCUCGGAUCGCCUUACUAGCGUUCGAAGCUGGCUCCUCAGGUGCUGGAUCCGUUACUACAUAAAGGAUCUGCUCAUGCUCAA
Molecule: long non-coding RNA, 278 nt
Filed under: Elaeis guineensis (African oil palm)
Lineage: Eukaryota; Viridiplantae; Streptophyta; Magnoliopsida; Arecales; Arecaceae
Description: long non-coding RNA (EGUI_LNC008531)
Source: RNAcentral